CUGCUGCAGCUGCUGCUGAGCUGAUUUGCACCUGUUCAUGGCUCCCGCUCUAGGUGUCUCCACAGAUGUCCUGAUGAUAUUCCUUGUGCUAUCCACCUGGCCUACCCCAGCACUCUUCCAGAUCCAGGGAGAUCCAGAGGUUGAGGGGGCAUACCCCAGCCUCAAUGUGACCUUCAACCCUAGGACAAUGAACCUAAGCUGGGACUGCCCAGAGAACAUGACUGAAGCCAGGUGCUUUCUGAGACAUGAGGAGACAGGGAAAAUCAUCAUGAAGGUCUCCCGGAUGGGAUGCAGCUGCACCUUCACCUCCAUGACACUGCAUGCGGGAGCCACACUCGAGGUCCAGGUGACAGCUCAUCAGAGACACCUGCGUGAGACCCUGGUCUAUGUCAA
Lepus europaeus (European hare) is the source of this 393-nucleotide long non-coding RNA. RefSeq lists it as uncharacterized. NCBI's taxonomy places the organism in Eukaryota, Metazoa, Chordata, Mammalia, Lagomorpha, Leporidae. The transcript has 3 exons. The record is from RefSeq and is a predicted model, not a curated record.